GCAACAACUUGGCAGGGGAGAUACAAUGAUCAGGAAGAUCGUGCUCCCAGGGUGAGGCUAUCCCAUGCACUUCGGUUGUGCUGAUGCCUGCGUGUCCCCAAGUGUGGGAUACUCAACUGCAAAAUUUGUGGGAGUGUGGGACUGUGUUUGCACUUUCCCCUG
Small nuclear RNA from Carcharodon carcharias (great white shark), 162 nucleotides. RefSeq annotates it as U1 spliceosomal RNA. Lineage: Eukaryota; Metazoa; Chordata; Chondrichthyes; Lamniformes; Lamnidae. The transcript has a single exon. The record is from RefSeq and is a predicted model, not a curated record.